AACGAACGCUGGCGGCAUGCCUAACACAUGCAAGUCGAACGGACGGUAGCAAUACCGUUAGUGGCGGACGGGUGAGUAACGCGUGGGAACCUGCCUCGAAGUUCGGAAUAACCGCGGGAAACUGCGGCUAAUACCGGAUGUGGCCUGAGGGUCAAAGGCGCAAGUCGCUUCGAGAGGGGCCCGCGUCCGAUUAGCUAGUUGGUGGGGUAACGGCCUACCAAGGCGACGAUCGGUAGCUGGUCUGAGAGGAUGAUCAGCCACACUGGGACUGAGACACGGCCCAGACUCCUACGGGAGGCAGCAGUGGGGAAUAUUGGACAAUGGGGGGAAACCCUGACCCAGCAAUGCCGCGUGGGUGAUGAAGGCCUUCGGUUGUAAG
RNAcentral lists this ribosomal RNA (379 nucleotides) under uncultured bacterium. Its description in RNAcentral is "bacterial SSU rRNA". It matches the Rfam family "Bacterial small subunit ribosomal RNA", at positions 29 to 429 of the family's 1533-position model. The record is from RNAcentral.